Long non-coding RNA from Ictalurus punctatus (channel catfish), 279 nucleotides. The record is from Ensembl. Lineage: Eukaryota; Metazoa; Chordata; Actinopteri; Siluriformes; Ictaluridae.
CGGGCAUGGUGACCUGUGAUUGACUGGCAUGUAAUCCUGGGUGUAUUCCCGUCUCACACCCAGUGUUCCUGAGAUUCACCGGCUCCAGAUUCACCACGAAUUCCGUUCUCCGGCUCUAUUGCAACCCUGACCAGGAUAAAGCACUUAAUUAAGAUGGAUGAUGAUGAUUAUGAUGAUGAGGUGAAGUGGAAAGUGCAGAGAGCUUUGAAUCUGAGCUUUCUUCAGAUGUAGCUGUAAGACAUGCUCACCAGCCUCACCACAGGUAAAGGUCUUCUGUUU